This 497-nucleotide ribosomal RNA is filed under the name uncultured bacterium. Its description in RNAcentral is "partial 16S ribosomal RNA". It matches the Rfam family "Bacterial small subunit ribosomal RNA", at positions 28 to 507 of the family's 1533-position model. The record is from RNAcentral.
GAUGAACGCUGGCGGCGUGCCUAAUACAUGCAAGUCGAGCGAACGGACGAGAAGCUUGCUUCUCUGAUGUUAGCGGCGGACGGGUGAGUAACACGUGGAUAACCUACCUAUAAGACUGGGAUAACUUCGGGAAACCGGAGCUAAUACCGGAUAAUAUUUUGAACCGCAUGGUUCAAAAGUGAAAGACGGUCUUGCUGUCACUUAUAGAUGCAUCCGCGCUGCAUUAGCUAGUUGGUAAGGUAACGGCUUACCAAGGCAACGAUGCAUAGCCGACCUGAGAGGGGGAUCGGCGACACUGGAACGGAGACACGGUCCAGACUCCUACGGGAGGGAGCAGUAGGGAAUCUUCCGCAAUGGGCGAAAGCCUGACGGAGCAACGGCGCGUGAGUGAUGGAGGCCUUCGGAGCGUAAAACUCUGUUAUUAGGGAAGAACAUAUGUGUAAGGAACUGUGCACAUCUUGACGGUACCUAAUCAGAAAGCCACGGCUAACUACGUG